GACGAACGCUGGCGGCGUGCUUAACACAUGCAAGUCGAACGGAAAGACCCUGCUUUUGUGGGGUGCUCGAGUGGCGAACGGGUGAGUAUCACGUGAGUAACCUGCCCUUGACUCUGGGAUAACUUCAGGAAACUCGGGUUCUAACCGGAUAUGAGCCUCUGCUCCGUGGUGGUGGUUGGAAAGUUUCGGCGGUUGGUGAUGGACUCGCGGCUUAUCAGCUUGUUGGUGGGGGAGUGGCUUACCAAGGCUUUGACGGGUAGCCGGCCUGAGAGGGUGGACGGGCACAAUGGGACUGAGGGAGGGCGCAGACGGCAACGGGAGGCAGCAGUGGGAAAUAUUGCGGAGCGACGGGAAGCCAGAUGCGGAGGCGCCGGGUGCGGGAAGACCGCCUUCGAGUUGUAAACAGCUUUCGCCUGAGACGAAGCGUGAGUGACGGUAAUGAAUAAAGAAGCAACGGCUAACUACGUG
This 468-nucleotide ribosomal RNA is filed under the name uncultured bacterium. RNAcentral's name for it is "partial 16S ribosomal RNA". It matches the Rfam family "Bacterial small subunit ribosomal RNA", at positions 28 to 507 of the family's 1533-position model. The record is from RNAcentral.